UACGUAGGGCGCAAGCGUUGUCCGGAAUCACUGGGCGUAAAGCGCACGUAGGCGGACUUGUCAGUCAGGGGUGAAAUCCCGGGGCUCAACCUCGGAACUGCCUCUGAUACAGCAAGUCUUGAGUCCGGAAGAGGUGGGUGGAAUUCCUAGUGUAGAGGUGAAAUUCGUAGAUAUUAGGAAGAACACCGGUGGCGAAGGCGGCCCACUGGUCCGGUACUGACGCUGAGGUGCGAAAGCGUGGGGAGCAAACAGG
RNAcentral lists this ribosomal RNA (253 nucleotides) under uncultured bacterium. RNAcentral describes it as "partial 16S ribosomal RNA". It matches the Rfam family "Bacterial small subunit ribosomal RNA", at positions 524 to 776 of the family's 1533-position model. The record is from RNAcentral.